Molecule: ribosomal RNA, 253 nt
Filed under: uncultured bacterium
Lineage: Bacteria
Description: partial 16S ribosomal RNA
Rfam family: Bacterial small subunit ribosomal RNA
Source: RNAcentral
UACGAAGGGUGCUAGCGUUGUUCGGAAUUACUGGGCGUAAAGCGCGCAUAGGCUGUUUGACAAGUCAGAGGUGAAAGCCCUGGGCUCAACCCAGGAAUUGCCUUUGAAACUGUCAGACUAGAGUGUCGGAGGGGAUAGCGGAAUUGCUAAUGUAGAGGUGAAAUUCGUAGAUAUUAGCAGGAACACCGGUGGCGAAGGCGGCUAUCUGGACGACAACUGACGCUGAGGCGCGAAAGCACGGGGAUCAAACAGG